GACGAACGCUGGCGGCGUGCUUAACACAUGCAAGUCGAACGAUGAAGAAGAGAAACGCGAACUUCGGUUCAAAUUUCACUUCGGAUUAGUGGCAGACGGGUGAGUAACGCGUGAGCAACCUACCUCUUACAAAGGGAUAGCCUCGGGAAACCGUGAUUAAUACCAUAUGACACAUUCAUAAGGCAUCUUAAGAAUGUUAAAGCUACGGCGGUAAGAGAUGGGCUCGCGUCCCAUUAGCUAGUUGGUGAGGUAACGGCCCACCAAGGCGACGAUGGGUAACCGGCCUGAGAGGGUGAACGGUCACAUUGGAACUGAGACACGGUCCAAACUCCUACGGGAGGCAGCAGUGGGGAAUAUUGCACAAGGGAGGGAACUCUGAUGCAGCGACGCCGCGUGAGCGAUGAAGGAAUUCGUUUCGUAAAGCUCUGUUCUAUGGGAAGAAAAGGACUGUACCAUAGGAGAAAGCCCCGGCUAAAUACGUG
This 482-nucleotide ribosomal RNA is filed under the name uncultured bacterium. Its description in RNAcentral is "partial 16S ribosomal RNA". It matches the Rfam family "Bacterial small subunit ribosomal RNA", at positions 28 to 507 of the family's 1533-position model. The record is from RNAcentral.